ACUUACCUGCAGUACCCCAGAGAAAAGAAUUUAAUUUUCCAGAGGCUGGUUCCUCUUCUGGUGCCUUAUUCCCAAGUGCUGUUUCCCCUCCAGAACUGCGACAGAGACUACAUGGGGUAGAACUCUUAAAAAUAUUUAAUAAAAAUCAAAAAUUAGGCAGUUCAUCUACUAGCAUACCACAUCUGUCAUCCCCACCAACCAAAUUUUUUGUUAGUACACCAUCUCAGCCAAGUUGCAAAAGCCACUUGGAAACUGGAACCAAAGAUCAAGAAACUGUUUGCUCUAAAGCUACAGAAGGAGAUAAUACAGAAUUUGGAGCAUUUGUAGGUAAGUUUGGCAAAUUCGUAUUUGUAUAUCAAUAUUAUUUACUUUUCACCUUAGAAAUAAUAGAAAUAUGUACUGUUACAAGUCAUUAUCUUUUCAUAGAGUAUAAUUAUAAAAUUUUUAAAAAGAGAAGCUGAAAGCUGCAGUGGGCUGUGAUCACACAACUGCACCAUAGCCUGUGUGACAGAAUGAGACCCUGUCUCUAGAAAUGAAAUGAAUAUUCACAGAGAACAUUUCAAAAAGGAAUGACUUAUUCUUAUACCUAUGAUAGCUUAAAUAAGAUAAGAACAAAAAAAAAUGUUUAUUUUGGCAGUAACACAUUAAAGACCUUAGUGAAAACUUUCAUGCAUAGAGAUUAUUCAGACAGUAUGUUAAUAAGCCCAUGGAAAAUUGCCACAUUAAGGCCAGCCUAGGAAGUUAUCUAGGCACUAAACAUGUUGAUAUUACUUCUAGGCUAUAUGGGAUUCACUCUAGAUACAUAGAUAUAACUUUUCCUACGUUAAAUAUAUUCCCCCUUUUUUUUUUUUUUUUAAAAGACGGAGUCUCCCUCUGUCGCCCAGGCGGGAGUGCAGUGGCACAAUCUCGGCUCGCUGCAACCUCUGCCUCCCAGAUUCAAGUGAUUCUCCUGCCUCAGCCUCCUGAGUAGCUGAGAUUACAGGCACACGCCACCACACCUGGCUAAUUUCCAAUUUAUUUUUAAAAAUGCAUUUUAGCCUAUUUGUUAAUGUAUUACCAGUGGGGUGUAUGUAUAUAUCAUAUAUAUUUUCUCUACAUGUAUAUUAUAUAGGAAAAGUUACAUAUCUGUAUAUCUAGAGUGAAUUCCAUAUAGCCUAGCAGUAAGUAUCAGCAUGUUCAGUGCCUGAAUAACUUGCUAGACUGGUCUUAAUGUGGAGAUUAUACAUGGGCUUAUUAACAUGUUGUCUGAACAAUCUCUAUGUGUGGAACAGUUUUCAUUAAGGUCAUUAAAGUGUUAUUGCCAAAAUAUUUUUGUUCUGUUUUUGUUUAAGUUAUAGGCAUAAGAAUAAAUCAUUCCUUUUUGAGUGAUUAUCCGUAUAUAUGUAAUGCUUUUUUUUUUAAGAGAUGCCUAAAUAUGAGGUAAAGUCUCUUUAGUAUAUGCAGAAGUCAGAAAGUCAGCUUAAAAUAUACCCAUGUGCUUUUAGAUGGAGGAAAUAGGUGUAGGUUCAGCGGACCUAUCAUAAGACUAUAAUUUGCAGUGUUUUCUAACCAUUUUAAUUAUGGCAUAUUUAGACUGAGAGCUAAAUAAAUGGAUCAAGUUCACUUAGGUAGCCUUAGCUGACACACGAUAAAAAGAGAAAGAAGAAAAGCGGGAAUGAGAAAAAGUGCUAGAAAGAAGAAAGAACAGACUGCUGUCUACCAAAUUGGUUUUAUAAUUAUUGCCAUAUGACAUAUGGAAUAUCUGUAUUCCAUAUAGGGUUGAAGUAGAUUUUAUAGGUAAAUGAAAUGUUUUAUGGACUUUCAUAAGUUUUAGUAAAGCUGUUUAUAAUGUAGAAUUAUUUAAACCUAAGUUCAUCACAUUUUCUUUUUCUUUACACAAAUUAUUGUCAUAUUGCCACACUCUGGUGGUAUCAUUUUGCUAUUGCGAAGCACUUGAUAGAAGUAAGACAUAAAAUUUAGGAUAAAUGGACAUUUCUUAAUGGGAAAAGGUAAAGCAUCAGAGUUUUCCCACAGAUUUCACCUUUUUAAUAAUGAACUUAAAGAAAAAACGUGCUGAAAAUUUUUAAGUGGCAGGUACUCCUUGAUAAAAACAAGACAUUGCAAGUUUC
RNAcentral lists this long non-coding RNA (2108 nucleotides) under Homo sapiens (human). RNAcentral's name for it is "non-protein coding lnc-USP50-5:1". Lineage: Eukaryota; Metazoa; Chordata; Mammalia; Primates; Hominidae. The record is from RNAcentral.